This 443-nucleotide ribosomal RNA is filed under the name uncultured bacterium. RNAcentral describes it as "partial 16S ribosomal RNA". It matches the Rfam family "Bacterial small subunit ribosomal RNA", at positions 338 to 795 of the family's 1533-position model. The record is from RNAcentral.
CCUACGGGUGGCUGCAGUGGGGAAUAUUGGGCAAUGGGCGCAAGCCUGACCCAGCAACGCCGCGUGAGGGAAGAAGGCUUUCGGGUUGUAAACCUCUGUCCUUGGUGACGAAGAAAGUGACGGUAGCCAAGGAGGAAGCCCCGGCUAACUACGUGCCAGCAGCCGCGGUAAUACGUAGGGGGCGAGCGUUGUCCGGAAUUACUGGGCGUAAAGGGUGCGUAGGUGGCCUUUUAAGUUGGAUGUGAAAUACCCGGGCUUAACUUGGGGGGUGCAUCUAAUACUGGAGGGCUAGAGUGCAGGAGAGGGAAGCGGAAUUCCUAGUGUAGCGGUGAAAUGCGUAGAUAUUAGGAGGAACACCAGUGGCGAAGGCGGCUUUCUGGACUGUAACUGACACUGAGGCACGAAAGCGUGGGGAGCAAACAGGAUUAGAUACCCGAGUAGUC